Molecule: long non-coding RNA, 1149 nt
Organism: Chenopodium quinoa (quinoa)
Lineage: Eukaryota; Viridiplantae; Streptophyta; Magnoliopsida; Caryophyllales; Amaranthaceae
Exons: 3
Source: RefSeq, a predicted model, not a curated record
AUAAGAAAAGAAAGAUUGAAAAAGAAAAGGAUGAUGAGGAUGUCAAAAUAAUCAAAGUGGAAAAAAAAUAAGAGAUCGACUUAUCAAAGAGUUACCGAUAAGGAAUUGAUGAAACAAGUGUUGGUAGAUCUUUCUGAUAAGCAUAAAGAAGCAAUUAAAAAAAUUGGAUUUGGAGCUUUUUUGAACUUGGAUGCACCGCAUUAUGUGGAUUCUUGGUAAGCACUAGCGUUAACUUUUAUUUUUUGUUUUUAUUAUUUAAAUAUCAUCUAUUAUGUUCUAAUUCUUAUAAAAUUCUAAUUACUGUUCUAAAGUUUAAUUAUCAUGUUAAUUUUUAUUUUUAUUUAAAUUCUAAUCUAUAUGUAUUUUGUAUUCUAAACCUUUAAUUUAAAUCUAGGUUGACACAACAACUUCUUUCGAAUUUUGAUCGCAAGAGAUGUUGCUUGAUGCUACCGGGGAGAGAAAAAGAAAUACUCUUUGAUGAAUUUGAUGUUCACAUACAUAUGGAUUGCCAAUGGGAGAUAUAGCAAUUCUUGAUACAAUAGAAAACAAGAAUGAAUGUGCAAAUUUUAUGCAAAAAUGAAGAAAAAACUUUAACCUUAAAGUGGUAUCCUAUUUUGAUCGGGUACCAAGGAAGGGGUUAGAGAUACCACGUCAAGUUCCAUUAAUAUCAUUGUGGAACCAAGAAAGGUUCCAUAUAAGAUUGAAGUUUGAGAAAGACCUUGGAUUUGGAAAAGGAAAAGUACUAGAAAGAAUGAAAUUGAAUGUGGGAUUGGAAAAAAGGCAAGAGAAUGACAAAGGCAAGAAGAAAGUAAUAAAAAAGCAAGGGAAAGACAAAGGAAAAGAGAAAGUUGUGGAAAACCAACCAAUGACAUGUGAUUCUAUCACGUCUCUAAAUGAUAUGAUGGUAUAAUGUUUUAAUAUUUUUUUUAUUAAUUUAUUUACUUAUUUCUAUAAUAUUUUAAAUAUUCAUUAUUUUAUGUUCUAAAUUAUUAGGGUUUUUUAAGCAAAUUUGGAGAUUUGGCAAAAAGUCUUGCAUCGAAUGUAAAAGAGAUGUAUAGCAUGUUGGAACAAACAAAGGAUAUCUUCGUUGAGGAAGAAACAACGGGGAAAAUGCAUCAUCUUAUAGACAACAUUUGGUGCAAGUAUACC